Non-coding RNA from Anas platyrhynchos (mallard), 2107 nucleotides. The record is from RefSeq and is a predicted model, not a curated record. Lineage: Eukaryota; Metazoa; Chordata; Aves; Anseriformes; Anatidae.
CCGCCGGGGGCAGGCGGCCCGCAGAGCCCGGGUCCGGCUCACCCUGACGGGGACGCGCGGGGACUCCCCGCCAGAGGCCGGCCCGAGGGCUGUGUUGCUCUUUUGCCUGUUGGGAUCACUACGGUGCCAAGGAAAGAGGAAACCUUGAAGAGGUUGCAAUUUGUGCAAAAUGAAUCACAGCACCACAUCAGACUGUGAUGUCAACAGAAGAUCCUGGUAGUUUCUGCAGAGUGUGUUGUAGAUGUAUGGCUCUUACUUCUCAGAAGGGUCCAAGCCCUCCAUGGCCUGUAGUUGGUGCUGGACUGCAACAAAAUGUCUGUGAGCCAUGCAAGAGCCAAGCUGAGACUUUCCUUCCACUGUGCAGAGGAAUGAUAUCACCCCACCUUUGGCUGCAUGCAUCACUUUUACUCAAGACUAGCAUCUCACAUGAUUUACAAGAACAUAAGACAGUGAGUGGUCGACUGAGAUAGAUAGAUAGAUGUAUUAAGCUAACAAUGUUUUCCAGAUGAAGUUGACAGUACAGUUUCCCGAAAAAUACAAGUUGAAUAUAAGCUGUAUUUGAAUUUAAUAGAAUCAAUAAUAUAUGAAAGAGGAACUUUAGAAUAGCUUUGUUAGUAUUUUUUAACUUUAGUCAGAGGAAGUGAAUUCUCACUUCCCCUUCCAUUGAAUAACUCAAGUUUCUACAUUGUACAGUUGCAAUGUACAGUUCAUAUUAUUUUUAGAAUAUGAUUAUAAUUAAUAUAUUAAAUACUGUCAUAUUUUCUUUAUAUGAUAGCUUGAAUGUCCAGUUGUCAAAAAACAUUUGUAUUCUUGACCAGUGACACAACCUUCCACUGGCUACAAUAGGGCUUCCUGUGACAGCAAAGAAAAACAAGCUUUCACUCAUCAGCAGAAGUCACAAUCAUUCAACAGCUAAAGUGUAUCAGCCAGAAAAAAAUGCUUUACUAGUCUUUGGUGUUCCUGGGGAUGAGGGUUCCCAUGUACUAGCUAUGUCAGUAGUAAUAUGAGAGCUGUUGCAGGACACACUAAGGCAGGAUGUGGCUUUGGUUUUCUCGGUGAAUUUUUUUGCAGGAAGUAUUUCAAAUAGCGUAGUUUACCUUUGAAAAAAAAAAAAAAGUUUCUUCUAGUUUAAAAAUGUGAUAGGCAUGAUAGACCCUUUGGUUGGUAUUUUUUCUCUGAAGGUGAGAAGAUUAUUUUCUCAAAUAGGCUUAAAUAGCUUGAAGCUCUUAACCAAUUUUGUCCAGGACCUUCUGGAAAAGGGAGCUGGAGUCUGUACAUUGGGCUCUCGUACAUUGGAGCCCCUAGUGGACAAGGACCAGAAGCUGUCAACCUGCAAAUGAGCACCUGUUCUCCUUAAAGUUACUGACCAAUGUGAAGAGAGACACUAGAAAGACUGCAGAUGUAUUUCAUUCAGCCUCGAGACUGAAUGGUGAUUUUUUCAGCAUUAGUAAAAUACAGGAAGAAUAAUCUUAACAGAAUCCAGCAACUGAAGCAACAUGUAAAGCUGCCCAUUUUUUCCUACCUCCAUAUUGACAAGGAAGAGGCUUGGAAGUAGAUGUUAGAUCUCUUAUUCUGAUCUUGUUUAUAGCACAAAUCAGAAACCUCUACACAAAUGCACUCUACUAACCCAAAUAUGUUUUUUGUUCUAGAAAAAAUAAAAACAUUUGAAGACUUCUAAAGGUAAAGAAUCUAAACAUGCACCCAACUAGCUCCAGAUUUUUUUCCUACUUUGGUUUUCUACAUGAAAUACUUACACCAUUUAUAACUCUGUGUGCUUUACCAUUGAUUUUAGUGUAUCCAGAACUUUUUCCUCAUUUUUUUUUUUUCACUUGUGUUAGCUUUUAAAAAUGUUUUCUUUAACCACCAUCUUAUUUCCCUCAAGGCCCUUUGAUGUACCAAGAGUAGUUGCAACAUUUUAGUCCAACCUAUACCAUACUUACAAAUGUUUACCUUUGUAGGGGCCAUGGAGUUUUGGUAGGUGGUAACCUGCCAGUGAUUUAUUGUGUACGAAAUAUUUAACACAUAAGCAUACACAAAAUCAAAGCUUUAUUAAGGCAGAAAAAUAAAACUUUCAUGACUUAGAAAAUGCCAGAAUUAAGACUGCCUA